Molecule: long non-coding RNA, 402 nt
Organism: Fundulus heteroclitus (mummichog)
Lineage: Eukaryota; Metazoa; Chordata; Actinopteri; Cyprinodontiformes; Fundulidae
Exons: 4
Source: RefSeq, a predicted model, not a curated record
AUAAUCUGCAGCUGGGAGGCCUGCAGAAAGCCCUAUUUAAGCCUCAGAUGUUGGCUCCAUCUUCAGCUGUUGCAGGAACCAUGGGAGGUGUUUGGAUUCUGAUCUUCUGCACAGUGACUUUUUGGCUUAAAGGCUCUUGCUUGCCAAUUGAUCAAAAUGGAGGAAUACACUUUGAGGAACAGGGGAAUAGCAACUUCUUGCCACAAAAUAAAAUUUCUUUGAAGAAACCGCUGGAUUCACUCCAGUCAAUGGAUUCCAGGUGGACACAAACUUCUGAAAAAGGUCAACUGGAGACCAAUGAAGUGGACAAUGUGUCAAGUGACGCCGCCCACAAUGUGUCAAGUGACGCCGCCCACAAUGUGUCAAGUGACGCCGCCCACAAUGUGUCAAGUGACGCCGCCC